Molecule: ribosomal RNA, 823 nt
Filed under: uncultured organism
Description: SSU rRNA
Rfam family: Bacterial small subunit ribosomal RNA
Source: RNAcentral
ACUGGAUAUCUUGAGUGCAGUUGAGGCAGGCGGAAUUCGUGGUGUAGCGGUGAAAUGCUUAGAUAUCACGAAGAACUCCGAUUGCGAAUGCAGCCUGCUAAGCUGCAAACUGACAUUGAGGCUCGAAAAGUGUGGGUAUCAAACAGGGAUUUAGAUUACCCUGGUAGUCCACACAGUAAACGAGGAAUACUCGCUGUUUGCGAUAUACUGCAAGCGGCCAAGCGAAAGCGUUAAGUAUUCCACCUGGGGAGUACGCCGGCAACGGUGAAACUCAAAGGAAUUGACGGGGGCCCGCACAAGCGGAGGAACAUGUGGUUUAAUUUGAUGAUACGCGAGGAACCUUACCCGGGCUUAAAUUGCAGAUGAAUUACGGUGAAAGCCGUAAGCCGCAAGGCAUCUGUGAAGGUGCUGCAUGGUUGUCGUCAGCUCGUGCCGUGAGGUGUCGGCUUAAGUGCCAUAACGAGCGCAACCCUUGUUGUCAGUUAUUAACAGGUUCCGCUGAGGACUCUGACAAGACUGCCAUCGUAAGAUGUGAGGAAGGUGGGGAUGACGUCAAAUCAGCACGGCCCUUACGUCCGGGGCUACACACGUGUUACAAUGGGGGGUACAGAGGGCCGCUACCACGCGAGUGGAUGCCAAUCCCCAAAACCUCUCUCAGUUCGGACUGGAGUCUGCAACCCGACUCCACGAAGCUGGAUUCGCUAGUAAUCGCGCAUCAGCCACGGCGCGGUGAAUACGUUCCCGGGCCUUGUACACACCGCCCGUCAAGCCAUGGGAGCCGGGGGUACCUGAAGUGCGUAACCGCGAGGAGCGCCCUAGGGUA